Gymnothorax javanicus (giant moray) is the source of this 72-nucleotide non-coding RNA. Lineage: Eukaryota; Metazoa; Chordata; Actinopteri; Anguilliformes; Muraenidae. The record is from the annotation of a GenBank genome assembly.
GGCAUGGUGGCACAGUGGUUAGCACUGCUGCCUCUCAAAAAGCCGGUUCCGGGUUCGAGCCCUGGCUGGCCA